RNAcentral lists this transfer RNA (73 nucleotides) under Candidatus Omnitrophota bacterium. Its description in RNAcentral is "Candidatus Omnitrophica bacterium tRNA-Ala". It matches the Rfam family "tRNA". From Rfam's summary of the family: Transfer RNA (tRNA) molecules are approximately 80 nucleotides in length. Their secondary structure includes four short double-helical elements and three loops (D, anti-codon, and T loops). Further hydrogen bonds mediate the characteristic L-shaped molecular structure. tRNAs have two regions of fundamental functional importance: the anti-codon, which is responsible for specific mRNA codon recognition, and the 3' end, to which the tRNAs corresponding amino acid is attached (by aminoacyl-tRNA synthetases). tRNAs cope with the degeneracy of the genetic code in two manners: having more than one tRNA (with a specific anti-codon) for a particular amino acid; and 'wobble' base-pairing, i.e. permitting non-standard base-pairing at the 3rd anti-codon position. Lineage: Bacteria; Pseudomonadati; Candidatus Omnitrophota. The record is from RNAcentral.
GGGGCUGUAGCUCAGCUGGGAGAGCACCUCGUUCGCAACGAGGGGGUCACGAGUUCGAAUCUCGUCAGCUCCA